CCUACGGGAGGCAGCAGUGAGGAAUAUUGGUCAAUGGACGAGAGUCUGAACCAGCCAAGUAGCGUGAAGGAUGACUGCCCUAUGGGUUGUAAACUUCUUUUAUAUGGGAAUAAAACGUUCCACGUGUGGGAUUUUGUAUGUACCAUAUGAAUAAGGAUCGGCUAACUCCGUACCAGCAGCCGCGGUAAUACGGAGGAUCCGAGCGUUAUCCGGAUUUAUUGGGUUUAAAGGGAGCGUAGGUGGAUUGUUAAGUCAGUUGUGAAAGUUUGCGGCUCAACCGUAAAAUUGCAGUUGAAACUGGCAGUCUUGAGUACAGUAGAGGUGGGCGGAAUUCGUGGUGUAGCGGUGAAAUGCUUAGAUAUCACGAAGAACUCCGAUUGCGAAGGCAGUUCACUGGACUGCAACUGACACUGAGGCUCGAAAGUGUGGGUAUCAAACAGGAUUAGAUACCCGAGUAGUC
Molecule: ribosomal RNA, 460 nt
Filed under: uncultured bacterium
Lineage: Bacteria
Description: partial 16S ribosomal RNA
Rfam family: Bacterial small subunit ribosomal RNA
Source: RNAcentral